Molecule: ribosomal RNA, 450 nt
Filed under: uncultured bacterium
Lineage: Bacteria
Description: partial 16S ribosomal RNA
Rfam family: Bacterial small subunit ribosomal RNA
Source: RNAcentral
GCGGUAUGCUUAACACAUGCAAGUCGAACGAUGAGAAAGAGCUUGCUCUUUCGAUUAGUGGCGGACGGGUGCGUAACGCGUGGGAACCUACCUUUCGGUGCGGAAUAACUUCGGGAAACCAAAGCUAAUACCGCAUACGCCCUACGGGGGAAAGAUUUAUCGCCGAUAGAUGGGCCCGCGUCGGAUUAGCUAGUUGGUGAGGUAAUGGCUCACCAAGGCUACGAUCCGUAGCUGGUCUGAGAGGAUGAUCAGCCACACUGGGACUGGGACACGGCACAGACUCCUACGGGAGGCAGCAGUGGGGAAUAUUGGACAAUGGGCGCAAGCCUGAUCCAGCCAUGCCGCGUGAGUGAAGAAGGCCUUAGGGUUGUAAAGCUCUUUUAGUGGGGACGAUAAUGACGGUACCCACAGAAUAAGCCCCGGCUAACUUCGUGCCAGCCGCCGCAGUAA